GGAUGAAGAGAAUGGCAGAGGAUUUGGUCAUCGUGUAGAGGGAGACGGUGACAUACAGGAAGCUCCAGUUACUCAGCCCAAUAUCCAAGGAAGUUGACAAAGCUGCGGGCGCGGCCCGGCGGAGCCACUCGGCCCAGGACAGCGUCGGCGGCGGCCGCCCGGAGCGGCAGCGCACCACGGCGCGGGACAGCGCCGACAGCGCGAAGAUGAGCAGGAGGUGCAGCAGCGUGGCGAGCAGCGGGAACGGGAAGCUCUUCAUCAGCCACUUGUUGUAGAAGGUGAUGCCGAUGGAGAAGCCGUAGUAGAGCAGCACCAGCGCCGCCACCAACGCCGCCCGGCCCAACGCCGCCGCCCCCGUCCCCAUGCGCCCGCCCGGGGCCCCGCGGAGCGCCGCGAGGAACAGCGCCGGGCCGCGGAGCGGUGACGACGAGGCGGAGGGCGGGGCCUGAGGCGGGCGGAAGGAAGGAGGCCCGGAGCCACUGCCGUGCUAUUGGUUAUUAUUCGAACUCGUACAAAAGUCGCACGGCGGCCAAACGGCGGCGUAGGAGCCCCGGGACGGCCGCGCACCGGGACGGUCCCCCGGGCCGGGCCGCAGCCCCCGUCAGCCGUAGUGGUACACGAAGUCGUAGCUGCUCGGCUCCUUGGGGAUGGGCGGCGGCGCCUCGGGGAUCUGGAUGUUCUCCAAGUCCAGCAGCCGCAGCUUCAUCUCCAUGCUCAGCAGCGUGUCCAGGUCGCUCCGCGUCAGCUCGCUGGACAUGUCCUUCCCCAGGAGAGCGUUAAGCCCAUCGAUCCAGAUACAGUACUCAUAUUUAUUAGGUGCGAUGAAGUUCAGGGUCUCAUCUGGAUCAUACAGUAUGGAGAAGGCCAGUUCUAACACUUCCUUGUUUUGUUUCAGUGCACUUUUCUCCUUCAUGUGUGGACAGUCCUUCCCCGUGACAAUGGCUUUGAUAUCUGCAACUGGAAUUUUUUCCUGCAGUGAUUCAAAGGUCACUUCCCCCUGGGCAUUGUCCUCCAGAUCUCCAUAGUGUAGCACUUUGUGGUUCAGAGCAAGGCGACAGUACCAAAAUCUUUCUGGAACUCAGAAAAAGUAGAGCAGGCUGAGCAGGAUCACUCACCUGAGGCCUCACAACCACUGACCAAUCCCUCCACCCCUCCAAUUCCCCAGCAUUACUUGCUGCUCAUGGCUGCGUUCUUAGAAAUGCACAUCUCUUCC
This 1213-nucleotide long non-coding RNA is filed under the name Gallus gallus (chicken). The record is from RNAcentral. Lineage: Eukaryota; Metazoa; Chordata; Aves; Galliformes; Phasianidae.